This 215-nucleotide long non-coding RNA is filed under the name Hordeum vulgare. RNAcentral describes it as "long non-coding RNA (HVUL_LNC003290)". Lineage: Eukaryota; Viridiplantae; Streptophyta; Magnoliopsida; Poales; Poaceae. The record is from RNAcentral.
ACCGGAAUAGCUUGGGAAUCCCAGACAGAGGUCUGGCUCCUUUGGUAGGGUCGUAGUAGCUUUUCAGGCUCUUCCAGCCACUUUUAGUAGAUGUCUAUACCCAGACAUGAUUUGCUUCCGCUUGUUGUUUGUAUGACUAGAGUGUCGGGUCACGAGACCCCUGUUUGUAAUAUCAUACUAUGUUGACUCUUAUGAGUCUUUAAUGAAUGCUUGAG